Molecule: ribosomal RNA, 502 nt
Filed under: uncultured Glomeromycotina
Lineage: Eukaryota; Fungi; Glomeromycota
Description: SSU rRNA
Rfam family: Eukaryotic small subunit ribosomal RNA
Source: RNAcentral
CCAAUAGCGUAUAUUAAAGUUGUUGCAGUUAAAAAGCUCGUAGUUGAAUUUCGAGACCGGUUUACUGGUCGUGCUUUUGUACGUACUGGUAUAAUCGGUUUCUCCUUUCUGACGAACUAUAAUGCCAUUAAUUUGGUGUUAUAGGGAAUCAGGACUGUUACUUUGAAAAAAUUAGAGUGUUUAAAGCAGGCUCACGCUUGAAUACAUUAGCAUGGAAUAACGGAAUAGGACGUUUGAUUCUAUUUUGUUGGUUUCUAGGAUCGACGUAAUGAUUAAUAGGGAUAGUUGGGGGCAUUAGUAUUCAAUUGUCAGAGGUGAAAUUCUUGGAUUUAUUGAAGACUAACUACUGCGAAAGCAUUUGCCAAGGAUGUUUUCAUUAAUCAAGAACGAAAGUUAGGGGAUCGAAGACGAUCAGAUACCGUCGUAGUCUUAACCAUAAACUAUGCCGACUAGGGAUCGGAUGAUGUUAAUUUUAAUGACUCAUUCGGCGCCUUACGGGAAA